GACAGAGGGUGCAAACGUUGUUCGGAAUUACUGGGCGUAAAGCGCGUGUAGGCGGCUAUGCAAGUCGGGUGUGAAAUCCCACGGCUCAACCGUGGAAGUGCACUCGAAACUACGUAGCUGGAGUUCUGGAGAGGAAGGUGGAAUGCUCGGUGUAGAGGUGAAAUUCGUAGAUAUCGAGUGGAACACCGGUGGCGAAGGCGGCCCCCUGGGCUAACACUGACGCUCAGGCACGAAAGCGUGGGGAGCAAACAGG
This 253-nucleotide ribosomal RNA is filed under the name uncultured bacterium. RNAcentral's name for it is "partial 16S ribosomal RNA". It matches the Rfam family "Bacterial small subunit ribosomal RNA", at positions 524 to 776 of the family's 1533-position model. The record is from RNAcentral.